CUCCUCUCUUCUCAUCCGCCCCAGUCUUGGCCCCGAAGCUGGGGAGUCGACACCCGUCGUUCCUCCUCCACCCCUCAGUCCAGUGGUCGUUUGGAAUGAUCUUCGCUUUCCUCCCAAUUUUUGGUGCUUCCCAUGGCUUCUCUCGCUCCCUCCUUCUCCCCCUCUAGCCUCAGCGGUAUUCGGAGAGGUGGCGCCAUGGAUCUCUGCGAAGCCUCCCACCUCUUCCCUCUCGCAGGGCAGCGAGGACUCCUCCGCUUUUCUCGACUCAAUAUCCCCAGACCGGUCAUCUUUCCGUGGGUUUUCUCUUCUUCUUUUCUUUUUUUUUUUUAGCUUUGGAAGUUAUUGCAUAUUUGUGGUCAACAAGGACGUCUUUUUACUGUAGUUGAAACGAGUCAAUGGAAAGACGAGAUUGAGC
This 415-nucleotide long non-coding RNA is filed under the name Elaeis guineensis (African oil palm). RNAcentral describes it as "long non-coding RNA (EGUI_LNC077252)". The record is from RNAcentral. Lineage: Eukaryota; Viridiplantae; Streptophyta; Magnoliopsida; Arecales; Arecaceae.